GAAUGGUGAAGCCGACCCUGCCGUGAAUGCCUGUGUUCGUGAGGACAGUCUUUAGCUUCUGAUCCCUUGAAGGUCAACACCAGAGUUGACCGCCAUCAAGUGGGUUCAGAGAGUGGAGGCUGGAGGGUGAUCUGAAGCAGUUCGUUGAGUCAUUUAACAAGCAUUUGUUGCCAGCUUUCUGAAAACAGCUUUCUAGCAGAAAGGAUAAUUAAGAAGCAGUGCGUGGUCUUUGUCUAAGAAAGACCAAAUGUUCUCCCACAAAAUAGCAUGAAAACAGCAAGCCUACCACCCGUCUUAUCUGAUACUUAUAAGAGGAGAGGAAUUAACUGUUUCAAAAGCUGACUUUAAUACAGAUUUCCCAGCUUUUCGGAUUUUUUUCAGCUGACCCGACUAUAUGGCGAAUGCAUCACAGCUGGUGCUGACAUAGAGCUAGGCAGCUAAUUUAAGGGAGGCACACUGGAGUUCCCUGGCUGCGAGGGCAAAAGAAAGCAAGUGGUGAAGGCCCGUGAUUCUCAUCUGACACUGAAUCAAGCUUUCCUGAGGGCAGAGCAUGCUUCUCCACCCUAUUGAUUUGGGGGCUUCAGAUGACUUGCUUUGACCAAUGGCAUGUGGGCAGAAGUGAUAGCAUGCCAGUUCCCAGAGGAGAACUGAAGAUCCAUUGCAAGUGUCCUCUUGUGCUCCUGUGCUGUGCAUGAGAAGAGCAUCACUCACAUAGCCACUCCAGAAUAAGAAUAUAGGUGCAGAAGACCUAACCCAACCCACAGUCUAGAGCCAAACCCAGCCAAAGAAUAAAAAUGCUCUAAACCCGCAAAGACAAAGGAUAAUAUUAAAAAAAAAAAAAAAAAAAAAGAAAAGAAGAGAAGAGAAAAAAUAGACAAGGUAGAUGAGAUUUACACAAAUUCUGGAAAGAUGGACAGUUUGUGCUGUCUUUGGAUGAGGGACAAAGUGUUUCAUUUGUAGUUUUAUGUAGGAUAAUUAGAUCACAUGGACUUUUAUUGAAUUGUACGUAAAGAUGAUGUGCGUCCAUGCAUGUGUUUGUGUGUGUGUGUAUUUGUGCUGGUUACCAAAGAAAUGGGUGUAGUGGAGAGCUUUAUUUUAUUUCAUUUUUUUGUUAUACUCAGAAUACCAUAACUCAAUAAAUAAUUGUGCAUAAUAAUAAUAAAACCCACAGAGAAUUAACAGUUGCAUCAUUAGACAUGUUACUUCUUUUCACAAUGAAAUCUUACUUGGUGAUAUUUUUCUAAAUUUCCCUGAGAGGCUAGAUGUUUAUAUAAAGUCAUGGCAAUGUUAAAGUGUAUAUUGUAUAUGAUGUAACAAAUGAGGCACUUAAUUUGAAUUUGUUUCCACAGAAUAAGCCAUUUGAUAUUUCUGUACUCUUUAUGGCAGAUUAGUUUUGCUUAUAGUAGAUUAUUACAUUCUUUCUGAGUCAUUAAGAGCUGUUACUGACGUGUACCAAACUGUGUUUUGAAGCAUUGCCAUUAUGUUUAAGCCAUAUAAUUUGUAGUUAAAACUAAAGGCAUGAAGCUUGUCAAAUACUGUUUUAUUUCAUAUUGAAAAAAGUAAGAAAAAUCUUCACUUCAAUGCUGAAUUAUUAUAAAGUAGAGCAAGCAGUGGAAAAAUUGCUAUUUAAAAAAGGAAAUGUUAUCUCAAUAUUUGCAAAGGCACUGUGGUAAAGUCUAUUAAUGCUUUUCUUUUCUGAUUAUUCUCUCCUUCCUGAGGACACAGGAAGAAUCUGGUCCCCAGGCCCCUUUGCGGUCAGGCAGGGCCAUGUGACUAUUUCUAGCCAGUGAAAUGUGAGUGAAACUGAUGCAUCUUGUUUCAGGCUGAAGCUUUUAAGAACAAGUAUGCCACUUCCAUUAUCUCCCUUCCUCUCUGGCAGUGACCACGAAGCUUGUUUAUUGAAAUGGCAGUACUCACAAAAUAAGCAGUCUGAGUGACCACAUGGAAAAAAGUAGCUCUGUAAAGACAUUUGACUGACAUCAGACUUUGUGCAUGUGAGAAAUAGAUUUUGUUGUUUAAGACGCUGUGGCUGUAACUAGUGACUAAAACAGUCAUGUAUUGUUAUGCAAAACCUGUGUCUAGAUUUUAACUUUAUUAAACAGAAACAUACUUAUUAGGACAGAGAGAGUCACUAUUUAAAGGCACCCGCAGGUAAAUAUUCUUUUAAUCAAAAAAUUGUUUAAAUGUGAAUAAACACCACUUGAUUUUUAACUGAUUAAUCAGAUCAUAAAGUUACAUGAUUAAAAAAUUAAGAGGUUGUGGGUGUGAACUUUACUCUUUGUUUUGUUCAAUAAUAGAACUCUGUCAUGUGCGUGUGUGUAUAUGUGUGUGUGUGUGUGUGUGUAGAGAGAGGCAAAUACUUAUAUGUAGUCAGAUAUUUUGAGCCAUUAAAUUGGACCAUAUGUGUGAGAACAAUUUGUAAGCUGAAAAGAAUCAUAAGAUACAAAGAAAUCAGCAGCACCAUUAUCAUCACCAUUAAAAUCUGGCUUCAUUAAGAGUCUCCGGGCUGGCCACGCACUUAGGAGGGGUCUACUCUGUUAUUCUAUUGGAUGAUUUAAUACGCUGGUAAUUCAGUCAAUUAACCGUAGUUGCUUGAACUACCUGGCACUGAGCAACCUAUUUAACAAAUGUGCAUGUUAAUUGACAGUUCAUUACUUUAACUGAUAGAGUAAGCUAUUUUGGUUUCACAUAGAUAUAGUUUUAGACAGUUACAAAUUAUUAUCUAAGAAGCUGAGCCCAUAUUCUAAACGCCAAGUCGGGCACUCCAAAGGUACCAUAGAGACUGGCAGUCGUUCUGCACAGAGGCAUGUGUUGUGUGUGUGUGGGUAUGUGUGUGUGUGUGAGCCUGUGUGUAUGUGUGUGUUCUCCCCCCAGUUUUUCAUAUAGCAUUUUUAAACAUUCUGACAUUAUUCUAAUCUCACUACUGUGACAGCAACUUCAAAACUAAGCAAUUUAACAAAUUUUACAGAAGCAAAAAGUACUAAAUCUAUGGCAUGGAUUCUGGCCUUCUGAGUUCAAGGCCAGAACAUUGUCCAUCAGACCACAGCUUCCUUUAGAGAAAAUAAAAAAACUAAAAACACCUCAAGGUUGUCAGCCAUUUUUUAAAAAUGUUACAUUUUGCUCUUUAACUUACCUGGAAUUAAUUAUUACGCUUAAUGUGUGAGAUAAAUCUAAAUUCAUAUUUUCUGUACGUUGUAAUAUACAGUCUUGAUUUUAUUUACAUAAAAACAUACAUUACUUUUCUGUCUUUUUAGAUUUCAAAACGCAUUUUCAAUCAGAUGGAAACAAAAGUUAAUUACAGGCAUUCACUAAUAAAUGUUACUAUAAUGGGAUGCUAACAUCAGGGUUCCUUGUAUUUCUUCUCUAUUUACUCCUAUGCCCCUAAUGUUAUCCUUGUCCUGAACUUCUUGCAGUUGAGGAAGCGCAUUUAUCUCCACAAUCCAUUGUUCAAAUUUGCAAUAAAUUCUUCAAAUCUUAAAGAAGCAACUGAAGAACAUGGAUUUUAGACUUAAGAUUUGAAUGCUAGUUUUACCAUUAAUUAGCUAAAUGAUCUUGGACAUGUUUCUUAACCAGGUUGAUCCUCAGUUUCCUCAUUUCUAUAGUGGAGUUAAAAUGUCUGCUUCAUAAGCAGUCCUGAGAAUUAAUUGAGAUAGUGUACUUAAGAUGGAUCAAUUAAUAUAAAUGAAAAUUAUGUUGCUUGCCUUCAGAGGCCUUAAAAUCCAUUUUUAGAAGGUGGAUUAUUUACAGGG
Molecule: long non-coding RNA, 3749 nt
Organism: Equus caballus (horse)
Lineage: Eukaryota; Metazoa; Chordata; Mammalia; Perissodactyla; Equidae
Source: Ensembl